This is a non-coding RNA of Paramuricea clavata, 80 nucleotides long. The record is from the annotation of a GenBank genome assembly. Lineage: Eukaryota; Metazoa; Cnidaria; Anthozoa; Malacalcyonacea; Plexauridae.
CGAGGGAAAUAGUUAGUUUUGUUUUCCCGAGAAUCUCAGACAUUGAGAUUCGAGGGAAAACAAAACUAAUUAUUUCCCGA